This 292-nucleotide ribosomal RNA is filed under the name uncultured bacterium. RNAcentral describes it as "partial 16S ribosomal RNA". It matches the Rfam family "Bacterial small subunit ribosomal RNA", at positions 505 to 796 of the family's 1533-position model. The record is from RNAcentral.
GUGCCAGCAGCCGCGGUAAUACGUAGGUGGCAAGCGUUGUCCGGAUUUAUUGGGUUUAAAGGGUGCGUAGGCGGCCCCGUAAGUCAGUGCUGAAAUAUCCCGGCUUAACCGGGAGGGUGGCAUUGAUACUGCAGGGCUUGAGUAAAGUUGAGGUAGGCGGAAUUGACGGUGUAGCGGUGAAAUGCUUAGAUAUCGUCAAGAACACCGAUAGUGUAGACAGCUUACUAAGCUUUAACUGACGCUGAGGCACGAAAGUGUGGGGAUCAAACAGGAUUAGAAACCCCCGUAGUCC